Non-coding RNA from Elaeis guineensis (African oil palm), 466 nucleotides. The record is from RefSeq and is a predicted model, not a curated record. Lineage: Eukaryota; Viridiplantae; Streptophyta; Magnoliopsida; Arecales; Arecaceae.
UCAACCGAUUAAUUUUCCCCGCCUCCGACCCGAUUUCCCCAAAUCCUUUCCGAAGGCCAACCCAGUCUGCAGCCCUUUUCCCUGCGCUUCUUCUCUCCUCCCUUCCUGUUUUCGAUUUUUCUUUUUUCCUUCUCUGAUGAACUUAAAAAAUCACGUAUGGAAGAUUGCAUGGAGAAAUGGUAGAUCAAGGAGAGAAGGAGAUCAAGUUUCAGUGUUCGGCACUGCAUAUUGAUGCAUCUCAGUGGAGACCAAGGAGUUCGCCAUGAAGUCCAUCAAGGAGGCCCUCCUCACUAACAUCAUUGACCGCAAGUGCAUCAAGCAGAAAGCUAAGAUUGCCCAACACACUGCCGUCGAGAGCCCAUGCGUCGUGCCGGUGCAACAUGUGUACAAGCUUCGGGCUGUGGUGGAACCUACCCUCUAUUUGAUUACUAAUUCAUAAGUAUAUUAGGCUACUCUUCUUUGCAAA